CACCUGCUUGUCCUUUGCGCUUCCGUCAUCACCGGCGCGUCACUUCUGGGUUAGAGGUUGUUGGGCUCGACAGCACGGCGUUACACUACGGUCGAGGCCUUGCUGCUUUGUCUUCACGUGCUGUGCGUGACAGCUGCUUACCCGCACGCCGUGGGCCCGAUUUUUAACUGGGGUUUAGUCCUUUUUACAGUGGCUGAACGAGUAUGUGACAGUUUGCUGGAGGCCAGUGGUGGCAUCCCCCUGUCUGCUGUGUCACUGGGAGUGGGUUCCUUCACUGAGAGCAUGCCCAGCCACGUGACUGAAGUUGCAUUAGCUCUCAUCUGUCCUCUAGGCCUCAGCCCAGAUUAGGUUAUUUCCUCUUCCCCCUUCCUGUGUGAAUGAUUGAGUAGUGUUUGUGCUUUGUUUCCUUUUUUUU
Scatophagus argus is the source of this 415-nucleotide long non-coding RNA. RefSeq lists it as uncharacterized. NCBI's taxonomy places the organism in Eukaryota, Metazoa, Chordata, Actinopteri, Scatophagidae. The transcript has 3 exons. The record is from RefSeq and is a predicted model, not a curated record.